RNAcentral lists this ribosomal RNA (484 nucleotides) under uncultured bacterium. RNAcentral's name for it is "partial 16S ribosomal RNA". It matches the Rfam family "Bacterial small subunit ribosomal RNA", at positions 28 to 523 of the family's 1533-position model. The record is from RNAcentral.
GACGAACGCUGGCGGCGUGCUUAACACAUGCAAGUCGAACGAUGAAGCCGGAGCUUGCUCUGGUGAAUUAGUGGCGAACGGGUGAAUAACACGUGAGUAACCUGCCCUUGACUCUGGGAUAACUGCGGGAAACUGUAGCUAAUACCGGAUACGACCCUCGGAGGCAUCUCCUGGGGGUGGAAAGAAUUUCGGUCAAGGAUGGACUCGCGGCCUAUCAGCUAGUUGGUGAGGUAAAGGCUGACCAAGGCGACGACGGGUAGCCGGCCUGAGAGGGUGACCGGCCACACUGGGACUGGGACACGGCCCAGACUCCUACGGGAGGCAGCAGUGGGGAAUAUUGCACAAUGGGCGCAAGCCUGAUGCAGCAACGCCGCGUGAGGGAUGACGGCCUUCGGGUUGUAAACCUCUUUUAGCAGGGAAGAAGCGAAAGUGACGGUACCUGCAGAAAAAGCACCGGCUAACUACGUGCCAGCCGCCGCGGUAA